UAGGGAAUCUUCGGCAAUGGGGGCAACCCUGACCGAGCAACGCCGCGUGAGUGAAGAAGGUUUUCGGAUCGUAAAGCUCUGUUGUAAGAGAAGAACGUGUGUGAGAGUGGAAAGUUCACACAGUGACGGUAACUUACCAGAAAGGGACGGCUAACUACGUGCCAGCAGCCGCGGUAAUACGUAGGUCCCGAGCGUUGUCCGGAUUUAUUGGGCGUAAAGCGAGCGCAGGCGGUUUAAUAAGUCUGAAGUUAAAGGCAGUGGCUUAACCAUUGUUCGCUUUGGAAACUGUUAAACUUGAGUGCAGAAGGGGAGAGUGGAAUUCCAUGUGUAGCGGUGAAUGCGUAGAUAUAUGGAGGAACACCGGUGGCGAAAGCGGCUCUCUGGUCUGUAACUGACGCUGAGGCUCGAAAGCGUGGGGAGCAAACAGG
RNAcentral lists this ribosomal RNA (428 nucleotides) under bacterium. RNAcentral's name for it is "partial 16S ribosomal RNA". It matches the Rfam family "Bacterial small subunit ribosomal RNA", at positions 355 to 776 of the family's 1533-position model. The record is from RNAcentral.